GAUGAACGCUGGCGGCGUGCCUAUACAUGCAAGUCGAGCGAACGGACGAGAAGCUUGCUUCUCUGAUGUUAGCGGCGGACGGGUGAGUAACACGUGGAUAACCUACCUAUAAGACUGGGAUAACUUCGGGAAACCGGAGCUAAUACCGGAUAAUAUUUUGCACCGCAUGGUUCAAAAGUGAAAGACGGUCUUGCUGUCACUUAUAGAUGGAUCCGCGCUGCAUUAGCUAGUUGGUAAGGUAACGGCUUACCAAGGCAACGAUGCAUAGCCGACCUGAGAGGGUGAUCGGCCACACUGGAACUGAGACACGGUCCAGACUCCUACGGGAGGCAGCAGUAGGGAAUCUUCCGCAAUGGGCGAAAGCCUGACGGAGCAACGCCGCGUGAGUGAUGAAGGUCUUCGGAUCGUAAAACUCUGUUAUUAGGGAAGAACAUAUGUGUAAGUAACUGUGCACAUCUUGACGGUACCUAAUCAGAAAGCCACGGCUAACUACGUG
RNAcentral lists this ribosomal RNA (496 nucleotides) under uncultured bacterium. Its description in RNAcentral is "partial 16S ribosomal RNA". It matches the Rfam family "Bacterial small subunit ribosomal RNA", at positions 28 to 507 of the family's 1533-position model. The record is from RNAcentral.